This 457-nucleotide ribosomal RNA is filed under the name uncultured bacterium. Its description in RNAcentral is "bacterial SSU rRNA". It matches the Rfam family "Bacterial small subunit ribosomal RNA", at positions 370 to 824 of the family's 1533-position model. The record is from RNAcentral.
AAUGGGCGCAAGCCUGAACCAGCCAUGCCGCGUGCAGGAAGACGGCCCUACGGGUUGUAAACUGCUUUUGUACCGGAAUAAACCCCCGUUCGUGUACGGGGCUGAAUGUACGGUAAGAAUAAGGAUCGGCUAACUCCGUGCCAGCAGCCGCGGUAAUACGGAGGAUCCAAGCGUUAUCCGGAUUUAUUGGGUUUAAAGGGUGCGUAGGCGGCCUAUUAAGUCAGGGGUGAAAGACGGUAGCUUAACUAUCGCAGUGCCCUUGAUACUGAUGGGCUUGAAUGUACUUGAGGUAGGCGGAAUGUGACAAGUAGCGGUGAAAUGCAUAGAUAUGUCACAGAACACCAAUUGCGAAGGCAGCUUACUAUGGUAUGAUUGACGCUGAGGCACGAAAGCGUGGGGAUCAAACAGGAUUAGAUACCCUGGUAGUCCACGCCCUAAACGAUGAACACUCGAUGUU